GACGAACGCUGGCGGCGUGCUUAACACAUGCAAGUCGAACGGAAAGGCCCUGCUUGCAGGGUACUCGAGUGGCGAACGGGUGAGUAACACGUGGGUGAUCUGCCCUGCACUUCGGGAUAAGCCUGGGAAACUGGGUCUAAUACCGGAUAGGAGCCAUUUUUAGUGUGAUGGUUGGAAAGUUUUUUCGGUGUAGGAUGAGCUCGCGGCCUAUCAGCUUGUUGGUGGGGUAAUGGCCUACCAAGGCGGCGACGGGUAGCCGGCCUGAGAGGGUGGACGGCCACAUUGGGACUGAGAUACGGCCCAGACUCCUACGGGAGGCAGCAGUGGGGAAUAUUGCACAAUGGGCGCAAGCCUGAUGCAGCGACGCCGCGUGGGGGAUGACGGCCUUCGGGUUGUAAACUCCUUACGCUAGGGACGAAGCUUUUUGUGACGGUACCUAGAUAAGAAGCACCGGCUAACUACGUG
Molecule: ribosomal RNA, 465 nt
Filed under: uncultured bacterium
Lineage: Bacteria
Description: partial 16S ribosomal RNA
Rfam family: Bacterial small subunit ribosomal RNA
Source: RNAcentral